RNAcentral lists this transfer RNA (76 nucleotides) under Holosporales bacterium. RNAcentral describes it as "tRNA-Thr". It matches the Rfam family "tRNA". From Rfam's summary of the family: Transfer RNA (tRNA) molecules are approximately 80 nucleotides in length. Their secondary structure includes four short double-helical elements and three loops (D, anti-codon, and T loops). Lineage: Bacteria; Pseudomonadati; Pseudomonadota; Alphaproteobacteria; Holosporales. The record is from RNAcentral.
GCCGAUUUAGCUCAGUUGGUAGAGCAACUGAUUUGUAAUCAGUAGGUGGUGGGUUCGAGUCCCUCAGUCGGCACCA